Gasterosteus aculeatus aculeatus (three-spined stickleback) is the source of this 4903-nucleotide long non-coding RNA. NCBI's taxonomy places the organism in Eukaryota, Metazoa, Chordata, Actinopteri, Perciformes, Gasterosteidae. The record is from Ensembl.
UGUUCUUCCGGCCUGUGUGCUGCCUGAACUGCUCCUGCCUUUGCAAACGCACCGCUGAUACUUGACCUGUGAUCUGACAAAUAAAUUUCCCAGAACGAGAGAAGUCGUUCGGCUGAAUUUUUGAUAACCCCGACCAGGCUCCAAUUCUUGAACACGUACUCUUACAAUGCAUGAGAAGACCAGGCGUGCAUGGGUCCUCUAAACUAUCUGGUCCAAACAACAACCAGUCAGACUGCAUACUUCGAUGGUGACGUGAGGACACACCCUCUCUGAUGAAGGACAACAAGCUGCGCCACUUCACUCCGUCUGAUGGAAGUUAAAGUGAAGCACGGAGCUCCUUUUUUACACAGACUUGCUGAGGACAAAGAGAGCUGCACACUGAGCAAGCUCAUGUUUACAAGUUCAGUUGUGGUGAACAUGUGAAGGUGUGGACCCUGCUAUGAAUCAGGGUGAGGACCGAGAGGAGGGAGUCCCUCCCAAUGAAGCCUCUCUGUGUGGGGAACUUGACAGCCAGACCAAAGCUCAGAGGAUCCAUCAGAGACCAGGACCUGGACCUGGAGCUGGAUCAAGCCCUGAACUCACUUGUGUGUCCUUGAAGAAUAACGGGCGUCUCCGAGCAGUAAAAAAGCUAGUUUUUAUACACAUGAAGACCAUCGUCAGUGCCAGUUUACGAGAAGCCACAAAGCAAGUUAAGAUAAGAACUCAGGUGAAGAUGAGGGUAACACACAAUGCUUCUUUGAUCAAGGGUCUGUGAGAGCAAGUUAACCCCCUUCUCCAGACACAGCUGCAAACCCUAAAUCUUUCUGUCUCUGCACAUCAGGAUCAAACACUUGAGACCUGGCUUUUAGCACCAGACAAAUGUUUACAACAUGUUUACUACAUGCAUCUCACAUAACACCUCUUGCACUUCUUCCACUAUGUCGUCUUAUCUGUCUUGUUGUCCAUUGUCUGAUGGUACGUUCACACCAAAAGACGCGGCGCGUGGGAAGUGAAAAAGCGAAACGAGCAAAGCGAAUAAAUCGCUCUUUCGCCCGACGCUGUCUAGCGAAAGCCAAUCAGUGUUGAGAUGCUCGGCUCGUCAUCACCGCCGUCCUGCUGCCACAGCGUGAUUACACUUUAUUAAACAGCCGCUCACCGGAGACACACACACGGCUGAGACUGAACGCCUGUAAUUUAGUUAGUGUGUAACCGAGAGACGCACCGAUCCGACACAACAGGUCAUCAGACUGGCUGCUGGUCCGCCUGAAGCCGCAGUCAUCCAGUCGCACUUCCUGGAGGAGUCGGUGAAAUUCAAGCUGUGUGCGGUGAACGAUGAUGUCAUGAACCCGAACACAACGCGUUUGCGGUUCCGACGUUUGUGUAAUUCACACAACAAAUAAAGAGCAGAAGUAGUGGUUAUUUAUUGCCAUGGUGGAAACGAUAGCGGUCUUUACGGAGACACGUAAAGCCUAGUUUAUGCUUCUGCGUUUUCAGAGCGACGCAGACGCAAGACCCCCUUUUCACACCUCCUUGCGUCCUUACGUGCAUCGACCCAUUUCUCUAGGCUUUGGUCGAAAGCGACGGAUGAUCAGAUUUAAGAACUUGGAACUCGGAAGAAAUGCAAAAAUAUGACCACUUACAAGCCGUCAUUGGCGGGUUGUAGAAGCGGGUUGUAGAAGCGAGUUGGAUUCAUGGAGGGAGAUCUCCACAAACGUCGGUUUGCCGGUCGAGAGGUGCACAAAGUUGUGGAGGAAAAUACGGGACAAACGUGUGCGCGAUGAAAAGUAGUGUUGACGAACUGACCGAAGAGCCGGUUAAAUAACCCGAUUCGUGUACGUGAACCGGGAGAAUUGGGUGCCAAACGUCAAUGAACCGACUCACUCCGGUUUUCAACCACUCAUUCGUGCCGGCGCUUCAGUGGCUUGAGCGCGCGGUCGGUGUAUGCUCCGUGGUCUGUAAUCUGGUUUUAUUCUGUGUGUAGUAGGCUAAUCUAGCUCAUUAGCGCCUCCACUGGAGUGGUGGUAGAAUCAAUCAGGAAAUGGGCUACCUUGAUCACGCACGACUGAACCUUAAGAGACUCCUGUACAGUUGGUGGCGGUAUACUACAGAGAUAGUCAUCUACCAAGAAACAAACGAAGAAGAAAAGAACCGUAACAACCGAGUUGAACCGAGUUGUUGAAGUGUUGUGGAAGCACGGUUGCGGUGUGACCGUGAGAGCGACUCGGAUUGUUCCCGGUGACUGUUGACUCAAUCACUGAAUGCUGUACUACUAACGUGGAGAGCCAAUCCCAAGAGCCAUUGUAUAAGCCAUGUAUAAGUGCAUCGAAUAAAACGCUGUGAUAUAAUUUUGCUAUUUAAUGUUUGUGUUUAGAAAACACCACUUUGCAGUAGGCUAUUUUGUAACUGUUUAUAAUGCAGUGCACGGUAUUUAAGUCAUGAGGUCAGACCGGUCCUGCACUAUAACUGAGAAGUUAACGAACUCUUGCCGAAUGAAAAUUAACGGCAAGUUAGGUAGGCUAGGUUAGGUCUACCAAUUCACAACUCCCAUUAGGUUAGGCAGGGAAUAUUUCUAUCAUGAGAAGCUUACAGAUUUGAACACAUCACCAAGUAUUGAUAAACGGUCUACCAUAAUGUGUUUAGUUGUAUUCAGUAGAGUGUGAUUAGUCAUUUUAAUGACAUGUAAGAAGUUCUCAACCGUCUUGAACAAUUAAACAAAACAACUCUUCAGCAGUAUAGGUAGACCACACUCAUAAGUAUAGACUACAUUCAAAAAAUGUAGAACAUUUUAAUGACACUAACAAAAACACAACGACAACAAGUAGGAUAAGAAAAAAUAUAGGCUCACUAUCUAUUUACAAUUAUCAUAUGCAUGAUUCAAUGUGCAAUAGUAGGCCUACAAAGUGUCCAGUAUAGCAGCGAUUCUCAAAGUGUGGGCCGCAAGGUACUGCAGGUGGGCCGCGAGAGGUCAUUUACAAAAAAUUAAUAAACAGUUUUUAAUUUUCAAUUUUGAAAAGUUUGAAAUUAAUAUAAAAAUAUGUAUGAUGCGGCACAUUAGUUAUGUGAAACAUGAAUUGAUGAAACACAAACAAUUUAAAUGAACAGAUUAGUUAAUCGGUUGAUCCAUACUGGUUGUACACGGCGCUCAAGGUGCUCUGCCAAACAUGCCAAAGCUCGUCUACGACGGCGAGAUGCUGAGCGGCGCUCAAGCGUGUGAGAUAUGGAGCUUGUUUUAGGGCGCGUCGGAGAAACAAAGCGCCUUAUUGUGCGGAAAACACGGCACAUGAGCUCCGGAGAAAAUAGUAUACAAAACAUACAUUGUCGGUCAAUACAUUUUGAAUCAAAAUUAAAUUCUUAAGGUCAUUUAAUCAUCCCUAGUUUAUGUUUUGAUCAGAGUUGUGAUUAAGGUUUGGGUGGGCCGCAAAAGAUUUUCAGAUUUCAAAGUGGGCCGCGGCAUUCUUGAGUUUGGGAACUGCUGCAGUAUAGGAUAGCCUACAUUUAACAAAGUUGAAUAGUCAUUUUAACAACAACGUAACACAAAUAUAUAAAACAACAAUACAAAAUGUAAAUGAAGAGGGGAACAAGGAAAUAAAUAUAACUAUUUAAAAUUAGCCUGUGCAUAGUGCAAUAGGUCAUGUAGUGCAAAGUGUGCAGUUUAAGACUACACACACAAAAUAUUAAUAUACAAAGGCACAUUGUGCAUGUUUAGGGUAGGUUUGCAUUUAAAAAUACAAUUUGCCUGACCGUCUCAGGAUUAAGCCUGUUCCUCCUUUCUGUGACAAUCUGUCCUGUUUUUGAGAAAACGCUCUCAGAUGCAACAGAAGUGGCCACGAUGGAGAGUCUGGCCUUCACAACUGCAGUAAGACCCUCAUAGACCAUUUGCCUGGUCUUCCACCAAGCCAGCGGAUCCUCACUCCUGGAGAUGAGCGGUUCUGCCAAAUAGCCCCUCAUCUCCAUUAAGGCAUCUGAUGUGGGGUUUCUAGCAGUGACAGCCACAGCCACUCUUCUGUCAAAGUCCUCCCAAAAUAAUGCCUGGCUAGAAGGAGGAUCUUCUGCGCUGGCACCCUCUUCUUGUGGAGCAUCCACCUGCCCACUGGGCAUCCCUCUCAUCACCCCAACCACACUUUUGGAGGCUUCAUCAGCAGCCAUUGGAUGGUGGAAGGCCCGUUGCUUGAACCGUGGAUCAACCAGUGUAGCCUCAGGCAGCAGGGUAAAAUGCUCUAUCCUGUGAAACCUGGAAUCUCUGACAACAGCACAUUUACCAUGUCCACAGCACGACCUGGAGUGGAUAGGCCUCCAUGAAUGCGUUGCACUACUCUGUGUAGACCCCUUGCCAUUAAAAUGACUUUUGAUGCAGUCACAAAUCUUGUAAGGGUUGUGAGGUUGGGGUUCACCAAUGCCAGAGUUGAAAUUAUGGCAUCCUUCCGGUCAAGUACACGCUGUAGCAUGUAAAAAGUGGAAUUCCACCUAGUUGUGACAUCUUGCUUCAUUUUUAGCGGUUCGAGCCCCAUUUGUAGUUGAGUGGCACGUAGCCUUUCUGAUGUCACUGUGCUGCGGUGGACAUACUCUACGAUUGCUUUUCCUUUUGCGACAACAUCUUGAAAUGGUGUCAACGCUUGUUUUACUAUUAGGUUAAUAGUAUGGGCAAAGCAGGGCACAUACUUCCAGCCAACUGCAUUGAUGGCCGCUCUUAUGUUGCUGGCAUUGUCUGAGACGCAGGCCACCACCUUCCCUGUUAUGUCCCCUUCUGCAGCAAUCCUCACAAGCUCUGAUGCCAGAUUGUCAGCUGUGUGUCUUUCAGUCAGAGCAAAACAGUCAAGCAAUGUUGAAUCGAGCUUGAAGCUUUCAUCAAUGUAGUGGCAGGUGACAGCCAUGAACCUUGUCGUAUUCCUAGAAGUCCAACAGUCUGUUGUCAGACACACAUCUG